UUGUCGCCAUUUUUCUUGUUGUGGUCUACUAGGAGGUCUUCCCUCGCAGUUCUGGAAAGAUCUGUAUUUUAUUUUAGAAUAAAAUUUCUCUUUCUGCCGUCUGUUAUCUGUGUCCUAUAAGCAAGCGUCGAAAGCAAAGACAGCAACAUGGCGCAGUACAAAGGAGCUGCCAGUGAGGCUGGGAGAGCGAUGCAGCUGAUGAAAAAACGAGAAAAAGAAAGAGAGCAGCUUGAACAGCUGAAGCAGAAGAUUGCAGAGGACAACAUGGUCAAGUCCAACAUUGAUAAGAAAUUCUCAGCUCACUAUGAUGCUGUAGAAGCAGAGCUGAAGUCCAGCACAGUUGGUCUGGUAACAUUGAAUGAUAUGAAGGCCAAACAAGAGGCACUGGUGAAGGAGAGAGAGAAACAGCUGGCCAAGAAGGAGCAGUCCAAGGAACUCCAGCUCAAGCUUGAGAAGCAGAAAGAGAAGAAGAGAAAGGAGGAACAGAAGAGGAAAAUAGCCAGUUUAUCAUUUAAUCCUGAAGACGAAGGAGAAGAUGAAGAGGAAAAUGAAGAGGAAGAUCAGGAUUAUGCUCCAGUUAAGAAGAAAAAACUUGGAAAAAAUCCUGACGUGGACACAAGUUUCCUUCCUGAUCGAGACAGAGAGGAGGAGGAGAAUCGUCUCAGAGAGGAACUCAGGCAGGAAUGGGAGCUCAAACAGGAGAAGAUUAAGAGUGAGGAGAUUGAGAUUACAUUCAGUUACUGGGAUGGCUCUGGACAUCGUAAGACUGUCAAGAUGAAGAAGGGCAAUACCAUUCAGAACUUUCUGCAGAGGGCCCUGGAGGUCCUCAGAAAGGACUUCAGUGAGCUCAGGUCUGCUGGAGUAGAGCAGCUGAUGUACAUCAAAGAGGACCUGAUAAUCCCACAUCACCACAGUUUUUACGACUUCAUUGUGACCAAAGCCAGAGGCAAAUCUGGUCCUCUUUUCAGCUUUGAUGUCCACGAUGAUAUUCGACUGGUGAACGACGCCACAGUAGAGAAAGAUGAGGGCCAUGUUUUUGAUCCCCUGCAUGGUAGGAGUGAGAGUGGAAAACCCUACUUCUACCAGUGCCGUCAAGUUCUCAAGAUCUGUGGCCAGGUGGUCUAUCUUGUGUGCAUUAUUCACAGUCCCCCACCAGGGGAGGAUGCCACUGAUUCCUUUCUCCCCUGGUGACACUCUCGUAGUGGAUCGCCGUGCUCUGUGUGUCUCAUGCAGGUAAAGUGGUGCUGAGGAGCUGGUAUGAGAAGAACAAGCACAUCUUCCCUGCCAGUCGCUGGGAGCCAUACGAUCCUGAAAAGAAAUGGGACAAAUAUACGAUCCGGUGAAAAAGCUGUCUUUUCCAGUCUCUGGAUUCCUUAAUACAAACUUUUUUAUGUAUCUUAAUUUACUCUAUUAUAACAUAUUUCAUCAAUUCUUUAUCAAGAUUUGAUAAACUAUUGAUUCAUGCUUUUACUUGUUUUUUGAAUAUAGAUUUCCCAAAUGUAUUUGAAUUGCCAAUGCACUGUUUCCUUCUAAAACAACCCCACAUUCAUAUGUAUAUAGCUCACAAACAUGUAGCAUCUGUGCUUACAAAAUAAACCUGGCUAUGACUCACUGGA
Molecule: RNA transcript, 1616 nt
Organism: Siniperca chuatsi (mandarin fish)
Lineage: Eukaryota; Metazoa; Chordata; Actinopteri; Centrarchiformes; Sinipercidae
Gene: fam50a
Gene name: family with sequence similarity 50 member A
Exons: 14
Source: RefSeq, a predicted model, not a curated record